Paramuricea clavata is the source of this 292-nucleotide non-coding RNA. The record is from the annotation of a GenBank genome assembly. Lineage: Eukaryota; Metazoa; Cnidaria; Anthozoa; Malacalcyonacea; Plexauridae.
GUGUAAUCACAUGACUGCUCAAGGUGUCGUUAUCAAUGGUGUUGGAUAUGUUGUAUACCAUGGGGUAGAGAAUGUCAAAAGAAUCACUGGUUCAAUUCAUGAGACCAUCUCCAGGUAUCAUAGAUUCGAGGCUUCGUAGCUUUAAUACUUGAAGAGUUUUUGUAAAUGGGAAUUUCUAUAGCGGAAGAUUAUAUAUGAUUUCAGACCUCACGAGGAACAGUUGUGAAAGGUCUGGAAUUGUAUAUAACCUUUCGACAAAAACCUUCAAGUUCUUUCCAGCAAAUGCCCCAAA